This 207-nucleotide ribosomal RNA is filed under the name uncultured bacterium. RNAcentral's name for it is "partial 16S ribosomal RNA". It matches the Rfam family "Bacterial small subunit ribosomal RNA", at positions 568 to 774 of the family's 1533-position model. The record is from RNAcentral.
UGCGUAGGCGGCCUGUUAAGUAGGGUGUGAAAUGCCAGAGCUCAACUUUGGCAUUGCGCUCUAAACUGGCAGGCUUGAGUGAGAUAGGGGUGUGCGGAACUUCCAGUGGGGCGGUGAAAUGUGUUGAUAUUGGAAGGAACGCCGGUGGCGAAAGCGGCACACUGGGUCUUAACUGACGCUGAUGCACGAAAGCCAGGGGAGCGAACG